GUCUGCUUUCUCUCUUCUUAUCUUUCAGUUCAACAUGCUGUGUUAUACCUAAAAACAGAGGGUUAUACACAUCCAGAUAAGGAAAUAAGGUUACAAUGGAAGAAAGAUGAGAAGCAGAGUGUAGGCAACAUUCAACUGGUCAAUGAAACUCUCAUAUAUAUUCCACAGGAUGGGGUAUACCAAAUAAACAGUGCUGUGCAAUUGCGCUUUAGAAAAGCUGAUUCUGCCGCAAUUGUAACCAUGUUAUAUAGGAAAAAGAAUGGGGCACCAGACGAAUAUUUUAUAAAAAGGAAAAAAUCCCUACACAAUGUAUCAGAACAUGCUGUAAUACAAACAUCAUUUACACACCAAUUUAAAGCAAAUGAUUCAAUGUAUUUGAUGAUGAACAAGGCAAGAUUCAUCAGCCCCGAUAAAUACUCAAGCUAUUUCACUAUCACCAGUUUCAAUACAAAUGAUCCUCAGUAAAAUGUUAGUGUUGUACUUUAAAUACAGAUAAACUGCUUUCCCAAGAGCUUCUCUUUCACCAUAAAACAUCUUGUGAAUAAAAAAUUCUUUUGCUUUCUUCUAUUCUGUUAUCAGUUUUAAUCAGUGGUUUGUGGUUACAUUGAAGCAUUUCUUUGGAGAUAAUCUUUAUAUCCAAGGUGUCCCUAUUUAACUUAAUAAAAAGAUUAUCUUUUGGUAUUAACACUGCAUGCAUCCCCAACGAUUAACUUUGGAGUUUCAUUUAAUUAUAUCAAGCUCUUUGUCUUUUCUCUAGACCAGUGUUGUUGUCAUACGAUACAAAAUGUGAAGCGGAGAUUGCUGUAAGAGAAGACUAUUCGAACAAUCACAAUCGCUGCAGAGUAUUUUUGUUUAAAUGCACACAAAGCCACUUGUCAGUUUUUACAUGUUUACAUGACAUACCAUUGAUUCACCAUUAUCGUAUAUUUUUUAAUCAUU
Long non-coding RNA from Octopus sinensis (East Asian common octopus), 939 nucleotides. RefSeq lists it as uncharacterized. NCBI's taxonomy places the organism in Eukaryota, Metazoa, Mollusca, Cephalopoda, Octopoda, Octopodidae. The transcript has 3 exons. The record is from RefSeq and is a predicted model, not a curated record.